Molecule: ribosomal RNA, 484 nt
Filed under: uncultured bacterium
Lineage: Bacteria
Description: partial 16S ribosomal RNA
Rfam family: Bacterial small subunit ribosomal RNA
Source: RNAcentral
AUUGAACGCUGGCGGAAUGCCUUACACAUGCCAGUCGAGCGGCAGCGCGGCCUUCGGUCUGGCGGCGAGCGGCGAACGGGUGAGUAAUGCAUCGGAACAUGCCCAGUCGUGGGGGAUAACACUUCGAAAGAAGUGCUAAUACCGCAUACGUCCUGAGGGGGAAAGCGGGGGAUCGCAAGACCUCGCGCGAUUGGAGUGGCCGAUGUCAGAUUAGCUAGUUGGUGGGGUAAAGGCCUACCAAGGCGACGAUCUGUAGCUGGUCUGAGAGGAUGAUCAGCCACACUGGGACUGAGACACGGCCCAGACUCCUACGGGAGGCAGCAGUGGGGAAUUUUGGACAAUGGGGGCAACCCUGAUCCAGCCAUUCCGCGUGAGUGAAGAAGGCCUUCGGGUUGUAAAGCUCUUUCGGCAGGAACGAAACGGUGGGCUCUAACAUAGUCCGCUAAUGACGGUACCUGAAGAAGAAGCACCGGCUAACUACGUG